GACGAACGCUGGCGGCAUGCCUUACACAUGCAAGUCGAACGGUAACGCGGGGCAACCUGGCGACGAGUGGCGAACGGUUGAGUAAUGUAUCGGAACGUGCCCAGUUGUGGGGGAUAACUGCUCGAAAGAGCAGCUAAUACCGCAUACGACCUGAGGGUGAAAGCGGGGGAUCGCAAGACCUCGCGCAAUUGGAGCGGCCGAUAUCAGAUUAGGUAGUUGGUGGGGUAAAGGCUCACCAAGCCAACGACCUGUAGCUGGUCUGAGAGGACGACCAGCCACACUGGGACUGAGACACGGCGCAGACUCCUACGGGAGGCAGCAGUGGGGAAUUUUGGACAAUGGACGAAAGUCUGAUCCAGCCAUGCCGCGUGCGGGAAGAAGGCCUUCGGGUCGUAAACCGCUUUUGUCAGGGAAGAAACGCUCUGGGUUAAUACCUCGGGGUAAUGACGGUACCUGCAGAAUAAGCACCGGCUAACUACGUGCCAGCCGCCGCAGUAA
This 498-nucleotide ribosomal RNA is filed under the name uncultured bacterium. RNAcentral's name for it is "partial 16S ribosomal RNA". It matches the Rfam family "Bacterial small subunit ribosomal RNA", at positions 28 to 523 of the family's 1533-position model. The record is from RNAcentral.